UGGACUGCUAGCCUCUCCGGAUGAGCCAUGUAAGUCUCCUCUUCUCCUUCACUGUCGACUAUGUGUCCCGCUAGAGCGAUUGAUCGCAAAUGUGGAAAUCCUGCCAUUGGAAGAACUGGCACUGCCUUCUUGUUCAGCCAGUCGUGCAUUUCUAGCCCGACGUUUUGGUGCCAGAAUGUGCUGCCGAAAAUUCCUGAGAAAACAUUGCAUUCAUCGCAGGGACAGCUUUCAGUGCGUGGUAUCGCUCGAGCGAUUGAGCGCAGUAGUCUGUGUCGCCACGGCAUUGAUUCUUCUUUAGGAGGACUUAUCGGCACGAUGGUGUUCUUUCCCAGGAUUUUCAUAGAAAUCUGUAGAAAAACGUAGAGAUGUAAUUCUCAGUUGGUAGAUGGCUAACGCAAAAAACUACUUACAGGGAUGAGAGGCAGAGUCAACUUCACGAGCGCUGAUGGAACCAAGUUGAAGAACAUGGACGAGUUUGUGCAAACUAGCGAUGCGAUCGACGAUGGAGGUAUGUGUCCACCCAUCAAGCUCAUGUGAAUUGAUAGUCCUCCUAUGCAGUGAGCAAUAACGUGUGCCGCUAUCUGCUUUUUCUUGACUUGGUUUAUCUUCGCAAACGCUGCAAAUUUUAGCGAUUAAAAUUUUCCUCCUUGAAAAAACAGGAACAUACCAGAUGGAAUGUCGAAGUGAGCAAUAUCGUCGAAAGUGAAGGAAUAUUUUGCUGGAUGCAGUGGAUGCAAACGUGUUUGCAGCAGCCAAGGUUCGUAAUCAUUCUGUAUCAGCGUUCGUAUGAUGUCAUUACUUUCCGUAGGAAGGCAGAAGCUCUCCGUGGAGUAACCAUUGAGCAACAAAACCACUCUGGAGUUGUGGCUCUCCGCAGCAUCUUUUGAGCACCAUUGCUUGCAGGUAAUGUGGACACCGUCCUCUACAGCCAUCCAUCAUGCUUGUGUCAGAAUGACUGCCUGUUAAGAAAUUUGUUUCGUACCUGUCACGAGUUCGUGAAGCACGUAGUUUGGAUAGUUGUUUGUCAAGUUUUGUUUCCUGGUCACCUUCUCUGUUGGUGUCCUUGGUGUUCUCAUCAAGUACGUCCUAGCAAGUGUUUCCAUCAGCCGUCCUACAAACUCCCGCUUCCUUGGUCCUCGCAAGGAUAUUAGCGACUUAAGUAACUCGGGAAGAGUUACUCGCAACUUUCCUUUCAGGACAACCGGUUUUGAUGACUCCUGCUGAGUUCGAACAACGACAUGUAGCGUGGUCGACUCAUAGAAGCACUUUAAGCCGCUCAUGAAUGGUCUCAUCUCUUUCCGUCCGUCCAAAGUAUACCUUCACAAACCAUAGCAUGUUUUGCAUGAGACCAGACCAGAUUUAGAGGAGGAAGGAAAACUUACCUGGUGCCCGUGUUUGUUGACAGAAGCAGGUGAUAAUGCAUAUACUGAGUGAAAGGAGUUUUUCCAUCGACAUGGCACAUAUUUACGUAUCCGUCAACCACAUAUAGAGGACCUGGUUCCAGCGAAGGAAUAAGAACAUCGCCUCCAACAUAUCCACGCAGGAGAGGAUGACUAUCUCCAAACAAACGAUUGCUUGCAGGCGUAUCUUUGUCUUGUCCCAUAUGCAUCACCAGUCGCAGUGUGCAAGGAGCUCCUCCAAUAUUUCCUUUCAAUUUUUCGUGGAUAAUGACAUAGCUGCACUGCAUUUCGGAAGCAAGUCGCGAGUUGAGGUAUGUUCUUGAUUUUAAAUUACUAAGAUCGCCAGUAAAUACUUUGUGCUGAAACUUUUGUGACAGGUAGUUCUGCGCAUCGUUGACAAUGCCAUUCGCAACUCUCUCUGCCACUAUUGAGAUCGUGCUGACCGGAUUCAGUCCAACUGAGCAUGGAAUCAAAGAGGCGUCGCAAACGUACAGGCCUGCGUGAACUUUUGUUGUCUUCCUGAACUGACCGUUGCUCGUCUCAGGGAAGAAAAUCUGGCCGUUUGCGUUUGCCACGCCGGUGGAUGAGUCUGUUGCUGCGUUGCAACCUCCCAAAAGAUGAACGGCAGCACUUCUGAAGCGACUCAUGUACAGCUUCCCACGAAGGCGAGCUGCCAACUUUUCAGCGGUCCGAAGCUUAUGAUGAAAAAGUAAGUCCUUCGCUGCACUGUAUGCCACUCUUCCUGUUACCUUGUCUAGCUUGAUUUGCCCGUCAGCAGCGUCAUAUCCCAUCAUAUUCAAUACCAGAGCUUGGCUGUUCUGCGUUCCUGUCCAUUGUUUGACUUGUUCCCAGAUACCAGUGAGAAACCCGUAGUCCCCUAGGCCAUAAGUAAUGACUCCCCUUAGUAGAAAUUCUGGAGCAGCUUGAGGAAUACAAGAGCCCUGAAAGAGGUGUUUAGCUUGAUAUAAGCUUAUUUCACUCAUAUUACCUGUAUUGUAAAGCCAAGUGAUGAUGUAUGUGAACUUGAUAUGACUGGACCAGGACGUAGCUGCAUGGGAGUCCUUGAGAAAUCUUCUUCUCGAAGUCCUUGAGCUUGAGUCUGUGCGGCUGUGCCUGUUAUGUAAGCUAUAUUAUUUCCAUUGCAGCUAACUCCGUAUCCCAACUGUUGGGACAGUUGUAGGCCUCGCUCUUUUGAUCGUAAGAGGAUCCCAUUCGUGCCAAGAACACCAGCUGAAGAAAGAAGGGGCAGCAAAUAUUAGCAACGAAAGUUUCGAGCUUCUACAAGAUAGUACCGGCUACGAUGAUGUAGUCUGCCGAAAUAUAAUCCACUUCAUUCAGGUGCACACGCCAUCUUCUUGUAGCUACUGAUUUGCAAUUUGCUCCAUCAUUGCAGGGUUGACAACAGAAUUCUUCUGAGUUCUCGGUGAUGAACAUCACUUCCGUCUGCGUGCAAAUUCUGGCUCCGGCCUGCACAUGCGAUUUCCGUAAGAAGAUGUGCCUUCAUAUUUGGCUGGAAAAGUACCUGUGCGGCUAGUUCGAGGUAAUUUUUGUCUGUUGAGCUCUUUGCGUUGUACCUGCAUCCUGAUAGACAGUUACCGCAUGAAAUGCAUUCGUUUUGUGUAACUCCAGCAGCAUUCUUCUUCUGAUUGAAACUUAUUGUCAACUUCAUGGAAUCUCUUGCUGCGUCCUCUAUCUCGUUUGCAAUUUUGUCUAGCACUUUUGAUUUUGGAGCCUCGUGCAGGAUUUCUUCAGGCUCCAGAAUGCUGUGAGAUUUUGCUUCGUAUAGAUCCCAGUCUUCCUGCCACUCGCUUGGCCAGUUUGGAUGCAUUCGUGCUCUUUUCGGUGUGGGCACGAUAAUUCCAGCAUUCACUAGCGAGCCUCCUCCCAGUCCUGACCCAACUAGAGCGACAGAGUCUCCGUGGCUGUGCACCUGUAAACAUGGACUAACUGUGUGUAUAUAUGUUUUAACAGGAGAAGUACAAUGCUAUCCAGUAACUCACCUCAUAGAGUGCAUCCUUCUUCCCAAUGCUUCCAAAUGGAGUAAGAAAACGCGUGCUGGAAAGCAAUUUCCAGGGCGUUGCUGGAAACUGGUGAGGCUCCCAUCGUCUUCCUUUCUCGAGAAUGCACACACGGAUUCCUGCUUCUGCGAGUCGAUAUGCAGCAAUCGAUCCUCCAUAGCCAGAUCCAACAACAACCGCGUCGUACCCGACUUGGAUGGUACGUUCCACUUGCGUUUGAGACAUAACUCGUCUCACUUUUGUUCUCCCCUCUUUGUUCUCCCCUCUUACAGAAAUUCACCCUCGUCGAGAUGUUCUAGGGACAAAGAACUGCCUAUCAAGGUACCAUCCUUCAGCACAACACGCAUACAAAUUUGACGUUGAAUUUGUUUCGUUUACUUUUUUAUUUUUUGGUAGACUUUAACAUCCUCACUUUAAUAUGAUUAGCACUAGUCCUUACUAUAUUGUUAGGAUCGGACUCACUCCUUUAAAGAAAAAAAAUUAAGAUUGAGGAGAAAGUGAGAAAUAAAGUGGAAGAGAAAAAAAAAAUAGCAAUUGUUAAAAGGAAAUAAGAAAAAAAAAUUGCUCAAACUUUUUGUUAUAAAAAAAACACAAAAAUCCUAUAUAACAAGGCUUAUAAAAUACUUUGGCAAAAAUUAAAGAGAUUGGUUAAACCUUGUUGAUACUAAACUAUGGGAAGAUAAGUGGACUUUUAAGACUGUUCAUUCAUGAAGGAAAAAAAAAAACUCCUCAACAACAAUAGUAAAAUAAAAAUUCUUAAUUGCUAAACCACUAGUCAACAUGCAUUGCUAUCAUCCGAGUCAAAAAAAUGAGCUAGAAAAACUCACUAUACUCCAGUGGCGACAAACUCCAGCACUAACUGGCAAGUGCAGCUAAUGAUAAGUCUAACAUGCUCUCUCUUGUUCUAAUUGAGGUAUGGAGACAUUGGAUUGGUUUGACAAGCACCACCACUUGAUGCAGCCAUAUAGUGGUCAUAAGUUCCCAAAUAGCAUGGAAUUGGAAGCACACAAAAGGGUUUAAAGGAUGCUCUUUCUUAGCUAACAAUGUAAUAGUUUCAGAUGAUGGGGCUUGCUCUCACGGACAGUGUAAUGGAGCAGUGCAUCCUCCCUGAUUUGUUUGCAUCAAAUCACAAGUUGUGAUCACCAUUGUACUGGCAGAUUCAAGGGUUUACCAAGCAGAGCAAGGCGAUCGCGAGCAGCGCCAUCAGGAUGAAGACAACGCCGCCGCACGCGCCAUUCCUACCAGCGAUCAGCGACUCCUCCCACGGCAGUAUCGCAUUCUUCUGGAGGUUAUCGCUCGGAUGGCUUCUCCCGGCGGAUUUGAGGCGCUCCAGCACCAGCGGGAACACGUCCCCGUGCGAAUGCUCUCCGAUCCACAGGUCGGAGUGUCCGUAGUCUUGAAUCACGAUUCGAGCGUGGCUGAGUCCAGGGUGAUGCCGCUUCAUGAAUCCGUGCGCGCGGAGAGAGGUCUCUGGAGUGACGAGAAUGGGGCGGCCGCCGGAGAUAUACGUGGUGUGGACUGCUAGCCUCUCCGGAUGAGCCAUGUAAGUCUCGUUUUUCCCCUCGUUGUCUACUACGUGUCCCGCGAGAACGAUUUUACGUGCGUGUGGCAAUGCUGCCAUUGAUAGAGUUUGCACUGCCUGCUUGGUCAACCAGUUGUGCGUUUCCAGUCUGACUUUCUCGUGCCAGAAUGUGUUGCCGAAUAUUCCUGAGAAAACAUUGCAUUCGUCACAGUGGCAGCGCUCCGUGCGUGGUAUCGCUCGAGCAAUUGCGCGGAGUAGCUUGUGUCGCCACGACAUCGGUUCUUCUUGCGGAGGACUUAUUGGUAUGACGAGCUUCUUUCCCAGGAUUGUCAUAGAAAUCUGUAGUAGAUAAACAACAAGACGUAAGUCUCCUUUUUUUUAUGGCUAACGCAAAAACUACUUACAGGAAUGAGAGGCAGAGUCAACUUGACGAGCGCUGAUGGAACCAAGUUGAAGAACAUGGACGAGUUUGUGCAAAUCAGUGAUGCUAUCGACGAUGGAGGUAUGUAUCCACCCAUCAAGCUCAUGUGAAUUGAGAGUCCCCCCAUGCAAUGAGCAAUAACGUGUGCUGCUACCGGCUUUCUCUUGACGUGGCUCAUCUUUGCAAAUGCUGUAAAAUUUUCCAGCAUUAAACUUUCUCGGUUUUUGACAGAGUGCACAUACCGGCUGGAAUGUCGAACCGAGCGACAUCAUCGAAAGUGAAAGAAGUUGGGGUCGGAUGCGAUGGAUGGAAACGUGUUUGCAAGAGCCAAGGUUCAUAGUCAUUCUCUAUAAGUGUUCUUACGAUGUCGUGGUUUUCCGUAGGGACACAGAAACUCUCUGUGGCAUAACCAUUGAGAAGCAAAACAAUUUUGAAGUUCUCAUCUUGAGCAGCACCCUUCGAGCACCAUUGCUUGCAGGUAAUGCGGGCACCAUCUCCUGCACAAGAAAUCUGUCACUGCCUGCGUAAAAGAGUCAAGUCUGUUUUUACCUGUGGCAAUCUCAUGAAGCACAUAGCUUGGAUAGUUUUCGGUCGAGUCUUCUGGUUUUGCCAUUUCCCGGCUUGUCGCUCUCGGUGUUCUCAUCAAGUACGUCCUAGCAAGUGUUUCCAGGAGUCGUCCUACAAACUCCCGCUUCCUUGGCCCUCGUAACAAUAUUAGGGACUUAAGUAACUCGGGAAGAGUUACCCGCACUUUUCCUUUCAAGGCAAUCGGUCUUGGUGAGUCCUGCUGAGCUCGAAACAACGAUAUGUAGUGUGGUUGCAUCAGAGUAACACAUUAGGCCGCUCAUGAAUGGUCGCAUCUCUUUCCUUCCGUCCAAGGUAUACCUUCAGAAACCAUAGUUUUCAAUGAGAUCAGAUUGACAGAAGAAAGGAUAACUUACCUGGUGCCUGUGUUUGUUGACAG
This 6325-nucleotide long non-coding RNA is filed under the name Selaginella moellendorffii. RNAcentral describes it as "long non-coding RNA (SMOE_LNC000393)". Lineage: Eukaryota; Viridiplantae; Streptophyta; Lycopodiopsida; Selaginellales; Selaginellaceae. The record is from RNAcentral.